Molecule: ribosomal RNA, 253 nt
Filed under: uncultured bacterium
Lineage: Bacteria
Description: partial 16S ribosomal RNA
Rfam family: Bacterial small subunit ribosomal RNA
Source: RNAcentral
UACGAAGGGUCCAAGCGUUAUCCGGAUUUAUUGGGUUUAAAGGGUGCGUAGGCGGGUUGUUAAGUCAGUGGUGAAAGCCUGUUGCUUAACAACAGAACUGCCAUUGAUACUGUCAAUCUUGAGUACAUUUGAUGUGGGCGGAAUGUGUCAUGUAGCGGUGAAAUGCUUAGAUAUGACACAGAACACCGAUUGCGAAGGCAGCUCACAAAACUGUAACUGACGCUGAGGCACGAAAGCGUGGGUAUCAAACAGG